UACGUAGGGUGCAAGCGUUGUCCGGAAUUAUUGGGCGUAAAGGGCUCGUAGGCGGUCCAUCACGUCGGGAGUGAAAAGCUGGGGCUUAACCCCAGUCCUGCUUCCGAUACGGGUGGACUAGAGGUAGGUAGGGGAGAACGGAAUUCCUGGUGUAGCGGUGAAAUGCGCAGAUAUCGGGAAGAACACCCGUGGCGAAGGCGGCUCUCUGGAACGCAACUGACGCUGAGACGCGAAAGCGUGGGGAGCAAACAGG
This 253-nucleotide ribosomal RNA is filed under the name uncultured bacterium. RNAcentral describes it as "partial 16S ribosomal RNA". It matches the Rfam family "Bacterial small subunit ribosomal RNA", at positions 524 to 776 of the family's 1533-position model. The record is from RNAcentral.